CUUGGUGUGAAUUGCAGAAUCCCGUGAACCAUCGAGUUUUUGAACGCAAGUUGCGCCCAAAGCCAUUAGGCUAAGGGCAAGUCUGCCUGGGCGUCACGC
This 99-nucleotide ribosomal RNA is filed under the name Ilex pedunculosa. Its description in RNAcentral is "partial 5.8S ribosomal RNA". It matches the Rfam family "5.8S ribosomal RNA", at positions 61 to 154 of the family's 154-position model. From Rfam's summary of the family: 5.8S ribosomal RNA (5.8S rRNA) is a component of the large subunit of the eukaryotic ribosome. It is transcribed by RNA polymerase I as part of the 45S precursor that also contains 18S and 28S rRNA. Lineage: Eukaryota; Viridiplantae; Streptophyta; Magnoliopsida; Aquifoliales; Aquifoliaceae. The record is from RNAcentral.